Molecule: ribosomal RNA, 319 nt
Filed under: uncultured bacterium
Lineage: Bacteria
Description: bacterial SSU rRNA
Rfam family: Bacterial small subunit ribosomal RNA
Source: RNAcentral
UGACCUACCCAAAGAACAAGUCACGGCUAACUACGUGCCAGCAGCCGCGGUAAUACGUAGGUGACAAGCGUUAUCCGGAUUUACUGGGUGUAAAGGGCGUGUAGGCGGUUCUGUAAGUCAGAAGUGAAAUUCCCGGGCUCAACCUGGGCGCUGCUUCUGAAACUACAGAACUUGAGUACUGGAGGGGAAAGCGGAAUUCCUAGUGUAGCGGUAAAAUGCACAGAUAUUAGGAGGAACACCGGUGGCGAAGGCGGCUUUCUGGACAGUAACUGACGCUGAGGCGCGAAAGCGUGGGGAGCAAACAGGAUUAGAUACCCUG